GCGGAAGCAUCCCAUUCAUUCGAAGCGGACGAUGCCAAACGGCUGCCCGUUGUAAAGAUGGCGGUGGUCCUUCCUCUACAUAGACUGCCAGUGCCUAUAUCUACCCUCCACACAAUGCGGACAGCUUGUAUCUUUCUGCAUGUAACGGAUCACGUUGCUCUGAAUGCCAAACUAAGAAAAAGACUGGUUUGAUGAAAAUGAUAACAAGAUCCAACAGUUAACUGAUAAGAAAAGGGAAUCUUUCCAAAUAUGACAGAGAGACAUCAACUGUGCUGCUAAGAAAAUGAUCUACACCACUGCAAAAUCUGAGGUCCAAAGAUGGACCAGAGAAAGGAAAGGACUACAGGAAAGGAGAUUCCACCUGAACAUCAGGAAGAAUUUCCUCACUGUGAGGGCUGUUCAGCAGUGGAACUCUCUGCCCCGGAGUGUGGUGGAGGCUCCUUCUUUGGAGGCUUUUAAGCAGAGGAUGGAUGGCCAUCUGUCGGGGGUGCUUUGAAUGCGAUUUCCUGCUUCUUGGCAAGGAGUUGGACUGGAUGGCCCAUGAGGUCGCUUCCAACUCUACUAUUCUAUGAUUAUAUGAUUCUAGAACUCAAGAAUAUAUGUUGAACAAAAAAGGCUCAAGAAAUUCAACACUUGUCCAUGAUGCAUGGGGAUUCUUUAAUGCCACAAAGGUCAUCUAUGGCCCAACCUGUUUAGCAUAAUCACAGAAUCAUAGCAGAAGUCAUGGCAGCACUGCCUAGUUCGGAGGAAGUCAGCAAAGCCAUCAACCAACUAAAAAGCCAGCAACCCCAAUGGGAACCCUGCUGAAAUCGUUAAAGAGAAUGGACCUGAGCUGACACAACUCCACCAGCUCAUUGAAAAAGUGUGGGCAACCGAGAAAAUCCCAGCAGACUUCAAAGAUGCCACCAUCAUCACCCUUUUCAAAAAAAAGGGGGAAAGAACAGACUGUGGAAACUGUCGAGGUAUCUCCCUUCUAACUUCUGCUGGGAAAAUCCUCGCAAGAAUCCUUGCAAACUGCCUUCUACCUGUCUUGGAAGACAUCCUUUCAGAAUCCCAGAAUGGCUUCCGCCCCUUCAGAGGAACAGUGGAUAUGAUUUUCACUGCAUGGCAGCUCUAAGAAAAAUGCAGGGAACAAAAUCAACCUCUGUACAUGGCAUUCAUCGACCUUGCAAAGGCAGGAGCCCCUGGUGGUGCAGUGGGUUAAACCCUUGUGCUGGCAGGACUGAUUACUUGAAGGUUGGGUUGCUGACCUGAAGGUUGCCGGUUCGAAUCCAACCCAGGGAGAUUGCGGAUGAGCUCCCUCUAUCAAGUCCAUCUCCAUGCGGGGACAUGAGAGAAGCCUCCCACGAAGAUAGUAAAAACAUCAAAAUAUCUGGGUGUCCCCUGGGUAACAUUGUUGCAGUCGGCCAAUUAUCUCACACCAGAAGCGACUUGCUGUUUCUCAAGUCGCUCCUGACACACACACAAACACACACACACACACACACACACACACACACACACACAACCUUGCAAAGGCAUUUGACACAGUGAAUCACAGUGCUGUUUGGACUGGCCUCCAAAAAAUCGAAUGCCUUGACAAAUUUGUGAACAUCCUGUGGCUCCUCCGUGAUGACAUGAUAGCAACAGUCUUGGACAGCAGCAGCCAGAAAUCCUUGUGGUUGUGUGUGUGUGUGGGGGGGGGAGGAGUAUUUUCGUUUUCCUAAAUAUUGGGGAGACAGACUUGCAGUGUGUUGCCUCUUCUGGAGGUUUCCAGAGCAAGAGAAGAGAUAAACCCAAGGAAAGGGAAGAAAGGUAUGGUCUGGAAACAAGUGCCACAAUAACACAAAAGCUAGUUAGUGGGUCAUAUAUGGUCCCAGGAUCACACUGUCCCUGCCUCUGGUUUUAAAAGAUCCUUGAUUACAAACACAGCCCCUCAUUGUAUAACAUCAAAUCUUGCUCUCAAAUUGUUGCCAGCAUAUUCGGUACCCAAAGUAUCACAUCAGCCAUUUUUAUAUCCAGAUAAAUGUAAUUAAAAAAUCAGGCCUGCCUGAGAUGUAACUCAUUACAUUGGAUGUAGCCCACCAAAACUGUUAAGGUGUGUUAGACUACAGCAACAGAAAUUGUAUCACUUGGGUGUUCAAUUCAGUUUUGUGCAAUACCAAGAGCCAGGGUGACUGUGCAACUUCAAUAUAAUUUUAAGACAGACUAAUAUGCAAGGUGAUUGGGGAUUAAUUGGUAUUCUGGUAGAAAUGAGAUAGAAGGGAUAACGUGUAAAGAAAACGGGAAACGAAGCCACCACUCUUAUGUUUCAAAUGAAAGCGAUUCUUAUUUAGACGUAUCUAUAAUUCUUGUUAUCUAAAUUAUGGACAGGCAAUUCUUUUUAAAAAAUAACAUCAACUGAAUGGGUUUAUGUACUUGUUAUGCAUGUCAGAAGCACAAACACUUUCUUCAAAAUGCAAGCAAUGCCUUAUAGCUUAACUUUUUAAAGGGAAGUAGAAUACCCAAUCCUAAAAUGUACUAGGAGUAACUUAGCCUAAGGCAAUACUAAAUACAUGAUUACUGAAGGCGUGUGAUGCUACUACAGUUUUCUCAAUCUAAAAUGGUCUCAGUCUGUUUAGCCUAAAGUUGGAAGAUUGCUUGGGAUUUCUGUGUACUAGAACAGUCUUGGAUAGAAAUUAAUACAUCUGAACUUGCUCUUUACUGAACCAUCUCUAUAAGAAAUUCUGCCAUCACUGAGACUUCAUCAGAUUGUCCUAUGGGCCGGAAGUAUCCAAAGAGACAGAUUCUCCUAAGAGAGGCAGCUGCAGAGAAGUCAAUCCAGUUCAGGUCAUGUACAGAUAAUUCUAGAAGAUGAAGGAAGGUGCAGGGGCAAGGUUUCAGAAGUUGUUACACAAAGCCAGUAAUCUAGAAAUUCAAAGCCCCAAAGAAUUGAGACAAGGAAUCAUGAAUGGGAACUUGUCCAGAGGUCACGAUUGUUAGGAAACACAGGAGUAUUAAGAGCAUGGCCAGUCAAAGAGGUUGAACCAUUGGAUUUUUUCCCAACUGCUAGGAUGGUCAGUGUCUUAUACUUAACAGAUGGUGUCUACAAGGUUUUAACAUGUCUCCUUGCCAUACUUCAAAGGGAGGGAAUGUCUCUUCAAUUUAUGUCAAAUCCUGCUGAGGAAGAAACCCCUGAGAUGCUGUAGCCACCAGCUUCUCGGAUUGGGGAAGGAAGGGGCAUCUGGAAUUAGAAACUGCGUUCAAUCCAACCCUCUAUGCCAAUUCCAAUGAAUAAUUUAUGAUACAAGCUGGAUCUACACUUAAACUGCAUUAUAUUAGUUUUCACUGGCUAUAUAAUAAAUUCACACUGCAUUAUUUGGCAGUAUAGAUCCAUCCACAGAUAACAUUCUCUUGAGUAAAUAAGUAAAAUCCAAAACCAAAUGAGUAAAAUCCAAAACCAAAUGAGUUCAAUGAGUAAAUGAGUAAAAUCCAAAACCAAAUGAGUUCAGAUGCCUAUCUAUUUGUGUGUCCAUCAAUCUAUCCAUCUAUCCAAUCUUUAUCUAGAUAUUUUAUAUCCAGCCUUUCUCCUUGUGUAGGACUCAAGCCAGCUUGCAAAAAUGCUAGAAUAUGAAAAAGCUAAAAGGCUGAUAAUAACAACAUUAAAAUGAUAUGUGAACAGAUUAGAAUAUAAAAUGUCUUUAAAAUUUCACAAAUGUAAAAAUAAUUUAAAACUUAAAAAUAAAGUUAAAAAUAUAGCACACUCCCCACAACCAAUUAAUUGCUAAAUGCUUGUUUGACUAGAAAGGCCUUUACCUGCUAGUAAAAGAAAAGCAAAAUAGGGGCCAGUUUGAUUUGUAUUAGGAGAAAAGACUUUUCUUACUCAUCCAAAAUAAUGAUAGUCUGAUGAAAUAGAAAACAGAACUCCUGGAUAUUAGUCCUUUGGAGUCAGUGUGCAAAUGUAACUUUGGGUCUAGGACUUGGUUCAAGUAUGAAGUUCAGACAUAGUUACAAAUUUUGGAAGCUUGUCCAUAUACUAUCUAAGUAGAGAGAGGUGUCAUGCUUUGAUAAAGCUAAAAAUACACCGGAAAGAAUUGUCAUAUACUGUUAGGGGGAAAUGGAAAUACAAAAUAAAGUGAAGGAUAUGAAUUGAA
Long non-coding RNA from Anolis carolinensis (green anole), 4112 nucleotides. RefSeq lists it as uncharacterized. Lineage: Eukaryota; Metazoa; Chordata; Lepidosauria; Squamata; Anolidae. The transcript has 2 exons. The record is from RefSeq and is a predicted model, not a curated record.